GUAGGUGAACCUGCGGAAGGAUCAUUAUCACGUAUUAAUCCACGUUAUAAACCCUUCUUUGAACUGUUUUUAAACUAAACAAUUUCUAAAGUAAGUGAAUGGACAAUGGGCGACGAAACACGACUUUGGACUGCGCGUCCGAUGAAAGGAAUGCUAAUUGUAAUUUGAACAUUCCGACUGUUUCAUGUAGCUAGAUGUGUUCUCUCUCGUAAGAGACAGACAAUUCUAUUUAUCUGUUUGUCAGAUAAAC
This 250-nucleotide unclassified non-coding RNA is filed under the name plant metagenome. RNAcentral describes it as "partial contains small subunit ribosomal RNA, internal transcribed spacer 1, and 5.8S ribosomal RNA". The record is from RNAcentral.